Pogona vitticeps (central bearded dragon) is the source of this 737-nucleotide non-coding RNA. The record is from RefSeq and is a predicted model, not a curated record. NCBI's taxonomy places the organism in Eukaryota, Metazoa, Chordata, Lepidosauria, Squamata, Agamidae.
CUGAGAAUUUUCUCUGCACAGACUGGAUACUCCCUGCUGUAGCAGUACAGAAAUCUUAGGGGGCAGUUUAUUUACAACAGAAUUCAUCAGGACAACCGCAGAGUAGGAGUUAUUUGACUCACGCCCUCACAGUGCGAACGUACUGAGAGCCAGCUGGCUUACCGACAGUGCAACCCUGUCUACUCUGAAAGAUGGGCACGAACUGCACUUCAGCACAGUUUGGCAGAUUCGACCCACAGGUGUUGCAUGGGUGCCCUAGAUUCCCCGCCCCGCCUCCUCAUGGUCCACACAGCGUUAAUCUACCCCUGGACUUUAACUGCAGAUUGCUAGUAAGCGAACACAAACUUUUUCAUUAAGUCUGACAAGAAAAGGAAACACUGUAUAGCUACGAUUCUCUUCAAUGCGCCGGAGAAUUUUGCUCAAGAAAUGGCUACAGGAGACUUUGCCUCAAGACAGUUUGAGAAGUUAACUGAAAUAUCAAAGCAGACUUUUGGGGUUUUACAUGAGGAAUGUAAACUGAAUUAAGUCAGUAUUUAUUUGUUGGAAUACAUACUGCAAUAACUGAGAAUGUGUAUGGCCUGUGUCAUGGAUUCUACUUUGGAAAUGGCUAGUGGAGCGGACUCGCUGAACCAGGUGCAAAAUGAAAACUCAAUGUUUAUGGAAAUCCCAUUGGUUUUACAGUGAUGCCUCACUAGACAGUUACCCUGCAUGACAGUUUUUUCACUAGACAUUGGCUC